Molecule: long non-coding RNA, 1818 nt
Organism: Equus caballus (horse)
Lineage: Eukaryota; Metazoa; Chordata; Mammalia; Perissodactyla; Equidae
Source: Ensembl
AAACAAUGAUCUCAUUUUUAGGUGUUGGAUUUUGAGUUCUAACAAUACAGGGUAUGCCUUGAUUUUUGCAAAGGAGACAUUUAAAGGAGUCCUGCCCACAACCUCCCAGAAUGGUCGGCUCUGCAGCCAGAAGUCAAAGGACAUGACAGCACAAUAGCUCCUCACAGCCUCCAGUAAGACAGCAUCCACUGCCUCCAACCAUGCAAUGCCCCUCUGCGAGGAAGUCUCACCUCCAGGAAAUCCCACAGGGAGCCCUCAGCUGGCAUAGCGCUCAGUUGCCAUCCCGCACCUGCAGAAUGGGCCAGGCCUGGAUGUUGGGCAGGAAAGCCCUAAAAUAAAGCAUACACAGCUCAUGAAGAAAGGGCUAGUAAUAAUUUUCCAGGAAGUCAAAAAGACCAAGUGCCAAUAUUUGUUUUUUCCAGAAAUAUAGUUGGAAAACACCAUCUAAAUCAUGAGGAGAUCUUGACAGGAAAGAACUCUGGAAGCAGAGAAGAUAAGAGUGGACUCAUACAGGGGCAAAUGAUUGGCAUCUGGGUCCAUCGAUGAGCAGAGGAACUCGGCCCCCCGAUAAUGGAUUAUGUUGAUGAGCUGUGGCUAAUUUUGAACCAUGGCGCAGGGUGAGGUUGGGGCUGGGACAAGAAGAGUUCGCCAUUUCAACGCAAACAUCUUAUUUAAACUAGGAUCCAGAGCGCUUCGUCUGAUCUGAGUGUCGCAGGGACCAGACCCCGAGGGCAGCCCUUAGGCCUGGGCUCCAGGAUCCCAGAUGGCUGCAUCCUAAUAUCCUCAUCAUCGCAGAGGCUUAAUUAAAUGCCGUCAGACUGCCGAGGGCAGCAUUCUAAGACAGCCGCCAAAGUAGCUACUCCAAGACGGUCCUGAGUCUGGAGAGGCACCCGGGGUCACAGCAUUGUCUAUCUCUGUGUGGGGAAGAAAUCAGAAGCGCUCACUUAGCCAUUGUUAUGCAUAACAGGGAAGAGAGGAAAGAAGGCCUUCUGACUGAGAGACGCUUAGCUGUUCAGGACUCAAGGCGCAGGCGUUCUGGGAACAGCACUGAUUCAUUCGAGGACGUGCAGUCUAGUCAGUGAUGAGCAGCCUGGGGAGAUCUUCUCCAGGAGGAUGGGGAGCAAGAUCCACUUCCUGCCUUCUGGAAACGCUCGUCUUACUAUUGUUGCACCUUAGAUGCAAGAGGCAUGUGUCCUCGCCCUGGCCCUGCAGGGACCUGCUGUGUUCACCCUUCCCGCCCCGCUCUCUGCAGCUCCCUCUUAGAGAUGCUGUAUCGUGGGCCUGGGAUGGGCACUCAGGGAUGCUGAGGGCAAAGGACUCCAGAAGCACAUCAAAGGCAAUUGAAGGCCAGUACACCCACCAACAACCACCCUCAGACAGGUGGGUCUAGGAGACAGGAAGAUGAGGAGAAACAGUGAAUUUUAAACACAUUACUCAGAUGAUCAGAAAUCCCAUAACCACAAUCACAGAAUGUUAGAAAUCGUCUGAAUUAUCGAGUCCAACCUUCUUAUUUAUUUAAUAAAUAAACAUAUAAAGGAUGAUACCUGGGAAGGUAAGAUGAGAUUUUCCCAAAGGUCAUCCAUUAGAAAGACGCAGACAGGAGCGUAGAUCUCUUGGUAUCGGACUCGCCACCAGCUCUCUGAAGAACUCCAUUCCAUUGUCUUCCAUGCUAUAUUUUGGAUAAUUUAAGUGAAUCAAGACACUGAAAAUUAUUCGCAUUAGGAUAAAGCCCUACUUAACUCCCUAUCCCAGUCAGCUACGGCCUCACUCCCCGGAUUAAAAUUUAUUUGCUGCCAAAUAUAAAAAAGUACAAUAACU